Molecule: transfer RNA, 72 nt
Organism: Aspergillus bombycis
Lineage: Eukaryota; Fungi; Ascomycota; Eurotiomycetes; Eurotiales; Aspergillaceae
Rfam family: tRNA
About the family: Transfer RNA (tRNA) molecules are approximately 80 nucleotides in length. Their secondary structure includes four short double-helical elements and three loops (D, anti-codon, and T loops).
Source: Rfam
GGGCGCGUGGUUUAGUGGUAUAACGCCUGAUUUGCAUUCAGGAGGUCCCGGUUUCGAUUACCGGCGUGUCCA